GGGAGGGCUCAGGAUAACAGACUAUGCCCUCCUGCAGUGCCUGGCUGGUUGGCUGUGGAGUAAACAGUUCCAGUAAGGAAACAAAGCAUGCAUGUGACUAAACAGGCUGUAGAAGGAGCUGACACCCCUCCCCAACCUCUCAGAACAUGAUUGAUGAGCCACAUGUUGGCACUUCUUGAGCUGUUAACCGGACAAAUUGGUCUUCGAGGACCUGACACACCUCUUGCAUCUCCUGUUGUAUUGAUGCAGUCCCAGCCUGGAAAAGUCCCAGGCUUUCUGCCCAAGACCUACCUGCCAGAAAGAGCCAUGCAAGGGGGCAGUGAGAGGGCUUAGUGAGUAAACGUGCUUGCUGUGAAACCUGAAGAUCUGAGUAUGAACCCUGCGUUGACAUGGCGGAAGGAGAGAACUGACUCCUCUGGGCUCCCCAUGCCCACGGUGCA
This is a long non-coding RNA of Grammomys surdaster, 440 nucleotides long. RefSeq lists it as uncharacterized. NCBI's taxonomy places the organism in Eukaryota, Metazoa, Chordata, Mammalia, Rodentia, Muridae. The transcript has 3 exons. The record is from RefSeq and is a predicted model, not a curated record.